Molecule: long non-coding RNA, 381 nt
Filed under: Ricinus communis (castor bean)
Lineage: Eukaryota; Viridiplantae; Streptophyta; Magnoliopsida; Malpighiales; Euphorbiaceae
Description: long non-coding RNA (RCOM_LNC001283)
Source: RNAcentral
AAGUGGAUGCCCUGGCAAGCAUAGGAUGCUUGCACAAGGAGCAACUUCUAGCAGUCUUCUAAAGAUGACAGCACUCUGAGGUACGGGGAUACAUGAAUGAAUCGAAUUGCACAUCGAAAUGGCGCGGGGAAUGGUUGAUAGCAUAUAUGUAAAGAGUUGGAACUAAUCACAUGAGUCGCCUUUUGGUUGUUUGGCUGUGGAGUUAAAGGAACUCCAAAAUUAAACGUGCUUGGUUCAAGAAAAUUUUAGGAUGGGUGACCUCUUGAGAAGUUCUCGAAUCUGCUAAGGGGAAAAAACCGUGAGGCUAGUAGGGCCAAAAUGGACAAAAUAUCUCAUAUGAUCUGAUUCUAGGUCGUUACAAAUGGUAUCAAAGCAGGACCC